GCACAGACAGCGUGGGACUGAGUCAGUUUGUUUUCUGCACAUACCAAGGAACAGUAGAGCAACAAGGAGAAAGGAAUCUGGGUCCCUGAGUGGCUUCAAGGAACACAGUUAACUAUCCAGGCCUCGACCACCCGCUGCUGCAGACAGAUCUGGUUUCCAUUCCUGUGGCGUGUGAGACGAGGGGACCCUUCUUCAGGGAUUCGUGGGCAGUGUGCCGAGAGCUCGAUAAUCUACUGAAGGAUGUGCUAUAUCAAAAAGAAGAGAUUAAACUCAGCAAGGGGAAGACUAAAGGAAAAUAAAAAGAUAAAGGAGACUGGAAAGCCAAGAGAAUCUCCAGCCAAGAGACCGGAGAAAAACAGGGAAUCUCCACAAUGAUGGGAAAGGGAGAUCCCAAGAUGACAAGAUGACAACGUGUCACCAGCUGAGUACCACCAACCCAGACUGCCACAGUGUGUCUCAGGGGCCAAGCAGGCUGCUGAGACUAUUAUCUAUGCCACCCUGUCACAUCCUCAAAACAAGAGACUAUAGCAAGCAGGAAGACAGGAGACUGGGAAGCAGGGAAUAUAAUCAUGAGAAAAGCAAAAGGAACUCCCAAGAUGGUAACAGAGGGAAGUUCGAGAUGACAGCUUAGUGGUGGCCUAAAGAGAAAUAUUUACAUUUAAAAAUACUAUUUUCAGGGGCACCUGGGUUGCUCAGU
Molecule: long non-coding RNA, 697 nt
Organism: Herpailurus yagouaroundi (jaguarundi)
Lineage: Eukaryota; Metazoa; Chordata; Mammalia; Carnivora; Felidae
Exons: 3
Source: RefSeq, a predicted model, not a curated record